GCUCAACCGGGGAGGGUCAUUGGAAACUGGGGAACUUGAGUGCAGAAGAGGAGAGUGGAAUUCCACGUGUAGCGGUGAAAUGCGUAGAGAUGUGGAGGAACACCAGUGGCGAAGGCGACUCUCUGGUCUGUAACUGACGCUGAGGCGCGAAAGCGUGGGGAGCGAACAGGAUUAGAUACCCUGGUAGUCCACGCCGUAAACGAUGAGUGCUAAGUGUUAGAGGGUUUCCGCCCUUUAGUGCUGCAGCAAACGCAUUAAGCACUCCACCUGGGGAGUACGGUCGCAAGACUGAAACUCAAAGGAAUUGACGGGGGCCCGCACAAGCGGUGGAGCAUGUGGUUUAAUUCGAAGCAACGCGAAGAACCUUACCAGGUCUUGACAUCCUCUGACAACCCUAGAGAUAGGGCUUCCCCUUCGGGGGCAGAGUGACAGGUGGUGCAUGGUUGUCGUCAGCUCGUGUCGUGAGAUGUUGGGUUAAGUCCCGCAACGAGCGCAACCCUUGAUCUUAGUUGCCAGCAUUCAGUUGGGCACUCUAAGGUGACUGCCGGUGACAAACCGGAGGAAGGUGGGGAUGACGUCAAAUCAUCAUGCCCCUUAUGACCUGUGCUACACACGUGCUACAAUGGGCAGAACAAAG
This 637-nucleotide ribosomal RNA is filed under the name uncultured bacterium. Its description in RNAcentral is "bacterial SSU rRNA". It matches the Rfam family "Bacterial small subunit ribosomal RNA", at positions 607 to 1244 of the family's 1533-position model. The record is from RNAcentral.